Molecule: transfer RNA, 74 nt
Filed under: Candidatus Woesearchaeota archaeon
Lineage: Archaea; Nanobdellati; Candidatus Woesearchaeota
Description: tRNA-Lys
Rfam family: tRNA
About the family: Transfer RNA (tRNA) molecules are approximately 80 nucleotides in length. Their secondary structure includes four short double-helical elements and three loops (D, anti-codon, and T loops).
Source: RNAcentral
GGGCCCGUAGCUCAGCCUGGUAGAGCACUUGACUUUUAAUCAAGUGGUCGCGCGUUCGAAUCGCGUCGGGCCCG